UUCGGGGGACAAGUAGAGUGGCGCACGGGUGAGUAACACGUAGGUAAUCUACCUUCGGGUGGGGAAUAACCCAGGGAAACUUGGGCUAACACCGCAUAAUGCAGCGGCACCACAUGGUGACAGUUGUUAAAGCGGGGGAUUUUCGGACCUCGCGCCUGAAGAGGAGCCUGCGGCAGAUUAGCUAGUUGGUAGGGUAACGGCUUACCAAGGCGACGAUCUGUAGCCGGCCUGAGAGGGCGGUCGGCCACACUGACACUGACAUACGGGUCAGACUCCUACGGGAGGCAGCAGUCGGGAAUUUUGGGCAAUGGGCGAAAGCCUGACCCAGCAACGCCGCGUGAAGGAUGAAAUCCCUCGGGAUGUAAACUUCGCAAGAAUAGGAAGAAUUAGUGGGGGCUAAUACUCCCCAUGAUGACGGUACUAUUUGUAAGCUCCGGCUAACUCCGUGCCAGCAGCCGCGGUAAUACGGGGGGAGCAAGCGUUGUUCGGAUUUACUGGGCGUAAAGGGCGCGUAGGCGGCCAGCGCAAGUCAGUUGUGAAAUCUCCGGGCUUAACUCGGAAAGGUCAACUGAUACUGCGCGGCUAAAGUGCAGAAGGGGCAACUGGAAUUCUCGGUGUAGCGGUGAAAUGCGUAGAUAUCGAGAGGAACACUGCGGCGAAAGCGGGUUGCUGGGCUGACACUGACGCUGAUGCGCGAAAGCCAGGGGAGCGAACGGG
Molecule: ribosomal RNA, 717 nt
Filed under: uncultured bacterium
Lineage: Bacteria
Description: bacterial SSU rRNA
Rfam family: Bacterial small subunit ribosomal RNA
Source: RNAcentral